RNAcentral lists this ribosomal RNA (927 nucleotides) under Chromohalobacter canadensis. Its description in RNAcentral is "bacterial SSU rRNA". It matches the Rfam family "Bacterial small subunit ribosomal RNA", at positions 56 to 975 of the family's 1533-position model. Lineage: Bacteria; Pseudomonadati; Pseudomonadota; Gammaproteobacteria; Oceanospirillales; Halomonadaceae. The record is from RNAcentral.
UGCAAGUCGAGCGGAACGAUCCUAGCUUGCUAGGAGGCGUCGAGCGGCGGACGGGUGAGUAAUGCAUAGGAAUCUACCCAGUCGUGGGGGAUAACCUGAGGAAACUCAGGCUAAUACCGCAUACGUCCUACGGGAGAAAGCGGGGGCUCUUCGGACCUCGCGCGAUUGGAUGAGCCUAUGUCGGAUUAGCUAGUUGGUCAGGUAACGGCUUACCAAGGCGACGAUCCGUAGCUGGUCUGAGAGGAUGAUCAGCCACACCGGGACUGAGACACGGCCCGGACUCCUACGGGAGGCAGCAGUGGGGAAUAUUGGACAAUGGGCGAAAGCCUGAUCCAGCCAUGCCGCGUGUGUGAAGAAGGCUUUCGGGUUGUAAAGCACUUUCAGCGAGGAAGAAAGCGUGCCGGCCAAUACCCGGUACGGACGACAUCACUCGCAGAAGAAGCACCGGCUAACUCCGUGCCAGCAGCCGCGGUAAUACGGAGGGUGCAAGCGUUAAUCGGAAUUACUGGGCGUAAAGCGCGCGUAGGCGGCGUGUCACGCCGGGUGUGAAAGCCCCGGGCUCAACCUGGGAACGGCAUCCGGAACGGGCAGGCUAGAGUGCAGGAGAGGAAGGUAGAAUUCCCGGUGUAGCGGUGAAAUGCGUAGAGAUCGGGAGGAAUACCAGUGGCGAAGGCGGCCUUCUGGACUGACACUGACGCUGAGGUGCGAAAGCGUGGGUAGCAAACAGGAUUAGAUACCCUGGUAGUCCACGCCGUAAACGAUGUCGACUAGCCGUUGGGUCCCUUGAGGACUUAGUGGCGCAGUUAACGCGAUAAGUCGACCGCCUGGGGAGUACGGCCGCAAGGUUAAAACUCAAAUGAAUUGACGGGGGCCCGCACAAGCGGUGGAGCAUGUGGUUUAAUUCGAUGCAACGCGAAGAACCUUACC